UACGAAGGGGGCGAGCGUUGUUCGGAAUCACUGGGCGUAAAGCGCACGUAGGCGGACUCUUAAGUCAGGGGUGAAAUCCUGGAGCUCAACUCCAGAACUGCCUUUGAUACUGGGAGUCUUGAGUUCGGGAGAGGUGAGUGGAACUGCGAGUGUAGAGGUGAAAUUCGUAGAUAUUCGCAAGAACACCAGUGGCGAAGGCGGCUCACUGGCCCGAUACUGACGCUGAGGUGCGAAAGCGUGGGGAGCAAACAGG
This 253-nucleotide ribosomal RNA is filed under the name uncultured bacterium. RNAcentral describes it as "partial 16S ribosomal RNA". It matches the Rfam family "Bacterial small subunit ribosomal RNA", at positions 524 to 776 of the family's 1533-position model. The record is from RNAcentral.